UACGUAGGGGGCAAGCGUUGUCCGGAAUCAUUGGGCGUAAAGCGCGUGUAGGCGGCUCGAUAAGUCUGCUGUGAAAGUCCAAGGCUCAACCUUGGGAUGCCGGUGGAUACUGUCGAGCUCGAGUCCGGAAGAGGAGUGUGGAAUUCCUGGUGUAGCGGUGAAAUGCGCAGAUAUCAGGAGGAACACCAAUGGCGAAGGCAGCACUCUGGGACGUGACUGACGCUGAGACGCGAAAGCUAGGGGAGCAAACGGG
This 253-nucleotide ribosomal RNA is filed under the name uncultured bacterium. RNAcentral describes it as "partial 16S ribosomal RNA". It matches the Rfam family "Bacterial small subunit ribosomal RNA", at positions 524 to 776 of the family's 1533-position model. The record is from RNAcentral.